AGUGUUGGAUUCGGAGCGUGACAGAGUGGUAUCAGAGAUUAGGUUUAAGAUCACUAGAGACUGUAAAGCGAUAUCAAAACUUCAUGUAUAAUUAAUAGGAUGUAACAGAAUGAUAUAAUAAUAACAUCAUAACUUAGGUCUAAAGUCACUAGGGACUAUGAUAUAAGUAAUAUCAAAACUUUUGGUUACAAGCAAUAGUGUAAUAGAAUGAUAUCAGAGCUUAAGGUUAUAAUCACUAAGAAUGUGAUUGA
This 251-nucleotide long non-coding RNA is filed under the name Elaeis guineensis (African oil palm). Its description in RNAcentral is "long non-coding RNA (EGUI_LNC007024)". The record is from RNAcentral. Lineage: Eukaryota; Viridiplantae; Streptophyta; Magnoliopsida; Arecales; Arecaceae.